Cyanistes caeruleus (blue tit) is the source of this 2439-nucleotide long non-coding RNA. Lineage: Eukaryota; Metazoa; Chordata; Aves; Passeriformes; Paridae. The record is from Ensembl.
CAGCCAUUAUUUUUCCCGUUCAAGUCCAACCUCGCCUUGCAUUUACCUUUGUGGCCCCUCCAGUCAUAUUUUCCUCUCCCCUCUCCUCCAAGGAAACCAUCAAGUUUCAAGGAAUGGCUUUUUACAGCUCGUUGUGGGCAGAAACAUACAUGCGGCAAACAUCAAGUUUACCACCCUCGUCUCUUCGCUAGCAGCAGAGAGAGACGUGCGCCGUGUCAAUGCGCUUCUCACGGGCAUCCGCGAAAACUGUGUCACGGCCUAUGGAGUCCCAGGCUGGACCAGAGAGAGCCCUCCUCUGUUUUCCACAGUGAGGAAGAAGUAAUCAGUAUAACUUUGGAGUGUUUUCGGUCUCUGAUGGUGCCAAGAUGUAGCAUGGGUCCUGCCUUGUGGAAUGGGUAUGUCUAGUGGACAAUGAACACGAUUCCUUUGUGCUUGUUGUGGGACCAUGCUCACACACUGUUUCUCAAGUUCUCUAGGCUGAACUUGAAGAUCAGGGGCCUUCUUGAGUUAUAACCUGUGCAGCUGUGGGACCAGUGGAAUAUGCAUGUGGAUAUAGGUGAUGUCUCAAAAAAUGAAUGCUCUUCAGGAUUUUGUAAUUAACACCCAUUUUGAAAUUGUUGUGUAUGUGAUAUUUGUGAGAGCAAGGGGAAGACAAACAAAGGAUAGGUUGAGACAAAUACUGUGAAUCAGGAGCAAAAGUUCUGCAUGAUGUAUUUCUGUGACAUACGGAUGCAUAGUCUCCUGCUUUGGCAUGAUGAGUUAGUAGGGACCCUGAAUGAACUGUUGCAGCUGAAAUUAGUACAGUGCCUCUUAGAAGUGACAUUAGGAGCUGAUCAGAGGGAGAAAUGAGGCAUUUUCUCAAUAUUUUUCUAAGUCUCAAUUUUAUUAUAUUUUUAUAUGUAAUAAGAAGUGCUGUUGCACUAGAGCAGUGCAACAUUAAGCAAUGCAGUGUUAUUAAAAUGGUGAGGGGUCUGUGCAUACCUCUGGUGAGACAGUAAAAUAUCCCAAAUGUGGCAUAUUCAUGUGCUUGCAUAAAUGGGCUAGUUGACUUUGUUCCCUUUCUUGGGAAAGUCUUGCAGAUUGGGUAAGAAAAUUGAGGAUUCUUGGUUUAUGUUCCUGGAGGGAUUUCAUUGUGUGUCUUCUUUACCUUAGGCGAUACUGUAGCAGUUAAUUUAGUUACCUGGCACAGAAAGACUUCAUUCAGCCAUGACAGAAGACAGAAUUGUGAGGUGCAGAAAUGGUGGUGUCAGUAGGUACCUGGGCAGACUUACAAGGGAGUGUUGGGAAGGAGCAUGGCCACACCUUGCUUGGAAACUCACCUCUCUAGGAGGUGCAACAGAGGCAGAACCAGGUUUUCUGUGUAGGAAGACAAAGCUCAUCUGAUGUGUUUCCUGAAAUGUCCCUGCUGUCACCUGCAGGGAAAUACAAAGUCAGGCAGACCAGGCUCUCACCGAGCAGUUGGCAGUGCAGUGUAGGAGGAAAGUGUUCAGACUCGCUGAACUGCAGAAACAUGGAACAGAGGGAGCUUGUGUGGAGAGAAAAAACUUAAUCUUGAGAAAAUCAAAACCAGGUUUCUGGCACUUAAAAUUGAAAAGCUUUCAUAGGGGAGUCCUUAACAGUUUCUUAAAGACAGAGGCUCAGGUGUGGCAGAGCACACAGUAUGGGAUGAAGCAUUUCCUAGAAGUGAGAUUGCAGGAUCUUGUGCCUAUGAAAUAGUGUCAGGAUCGAGGCUGGCAAAAAAGUCGUGAAAAUGUUUGAACAAAUUUCAGUAGGGUUUGAUGGGGAAAAAAAAAAAAAGAAAAAGGAUGGCUGAACCAAAGCUUGUGUGCUGCUACAGAGUAAUCUGGAAAGUUCAACACGGAACUGAAAUGGCCAAUUUGAAACCGGAAUGCAUAUUCAAAAGGCAUAUCAGGCCCGUCAGUGGAACCUUUCAGUACUAGGGCACAGUAAUGUGAUGGAAUUCUAUUAAGAUAUAAUAGCAUACCCAAGGAAGAAGUGGCAGUAUGUGUAGAAGAAAACUUAAGUCUUGAAUCUGUUUCCUGGUGUGUUUUGAUGGUAAAAGUCAUCAGGACUGAAAUACCAGCCCUGUGGAGAACCAACCUGGUAACUGACCACCCAAUGUGUAAUGACUGCUCUGCUGAAGAAAAUCAGAGGGGCAGCAAGGGCUGGAUAGAAAAGCAAAAGGAGUAAUAACUUCUCCUCACAUGGGCUAGGUUGCACAUCUCGAGGUGUGGUGCAGAAUGCAAUUGUUUAGAUGCCACAAAUAAUGACUUAGAGCUGCUAUUCAGAGAGCCCUUCAGAAGAGCAGCAAUUCUUGACUUGAUCUCGAGUGCUACUCAGGUAAUUGGAUUCAGAUGUUGCUGUGGAACAGCCAGACUGUAGUUCUAAUAUUCUUUCAGGAAGAAUAAAAGACAAAGAAACCACUGAUGUGUUUAAUUU